Molecule: long non-coding RNA, 1392 nt
Filed under: Gallus gallus (chicken)
Lineage: Eukaryota; Metazoa; Chordata; Aves; Galliformes; Phasianidae
Description: lncRNA (ENSGALG00010004469.1)
Source: RNAcentral
GUAAGAAUAAAGCGAGAGGAGAUCCUGUCUGCUUAUUUCCAGGCUGCUUCUAUGUGUGUGGAUUCAGGCUGUGGGUUCACAGGCAGCUGAGUUGAUUGGAUGGCUUCAUUCCUCUGAAAUGAAAUCUUACCUCCUCUUCCUUCUCUUGCCCUUCAUCUUCCCCCUCACCUCACCCUUCGUACUCCCCUCCUUCCACCAGUGCCUGGUGUGUGCCACACGUGUGCUGCACGUGUGACCCAUGCGAUGAGCCAGUUCAGUUCCCCAGUCCAGCAGAAAAUUGUCUUGAGUUUUUCUGGGUUAUUUUUCUGUUGAGUUGGUGAGCUGUGUCAGUUCAGAGACAUUUAUGGACCAACAUUAGAAUGAAUGGUGAGACUGUGAGGCUGAGGGCAGCAAGGGAGGGGGAACUGGGGAGGGCAGCCUCACCGCUUCUGCAGAGAUAAAAGCAUCAGAGAUAAAAGUGUGAGUAUCGGAGUUUUUAUCAGAGAUAAAAGUAUUGUGUCAGCCCAUUGCAUCUCUCAAAAUCACAGCUUCAGUUUUUCUCAGGAAAGUACGUGCAUCUCUGUUUAUAUGCAGAUGACUUUCUGGUUCUCUCUCAUAUCUCCCUCUUCUCUCUGACAGGCAAGACUUCGGUUCCUCGGCCUCCUGCCCCAUCUUUUAUGGAUCUCAGGAACUGCCUGUGAGGCAGAGCACCCUGGAAAACAGAGGAGCAGCAGUAUACAUCACCAGAGGCUGCAGGAGAAUACUGGAAGCAGAGGAUGGGAUCUGCCGCCUGUACCAUGCAGCAAUCAGAGCUAUCCCUACUUGUUCUUUUGAGAUAAAACACACUUUUUAAUGCUUAGAUUUUAAUUACCUUUCUACUCAAUGUACAGGCUUGUAGAGGAGCCCACCCUGUUUUGUAUUUUCUUUAAAGGAUCCAUAAGUUCAAUACGAUGAGACCUAGCUUAGUAAAGAUAAGGAAAGGUUUCCCCAGGGAUGCUGUGGCAUGAAAGAGGUUUCUGUCAUGAUAUGGUCAUUCUAACAAAGCAGAGCAAUACAUGAGGGUUUCUCACCUUUAACUUGUUGGCAUUAUACAGCACAGACCUUCCACUAAUUGUUACAAAUUCAGAAUAAGAAAAAAUAAAUGAAAAACAGAAGUUGAAAUUGUGAGUUAAUGAGAGCAAAAUGUGGAGUGGGCUGCAGCAUUCUGUUUGUUAAAUACUGUUGUUCCUGGAUCAAAGAGAGUGAGGUAUCUAGCAAUUAUUUAAACCUGUUUUAAAACUUCCUUCAAGAAAAUUUACUAAGAGACCUCCUUCUCAUAUCACGAAUGGAUUUGUGGAAAGAUGUUUACCCCUCAGAAAGCCUCAUAGUUUGGCUUAUUACAGAGACAAAAAUCAAUAACAUGCAAACUCUCAC